GUUUCCUAUUUUAAUUCUAUAAAUAUGUCAUAUGAUUUAAAUAUACAUUUAAUUAAGUUGGUUGGCCAACAAAUGUUUCCUCUUAUCGUUACAUAUUUUCCAAGGCUACAUGCAAAACAAUAAAUAAAAACAUCCUGUUCGUUUUUAAAAUAAAGCCUGCUUUUCUAAAAUAUUAUUUACUAUAAUUUAUUUUCCUAAGUUAAAUUAUUUCUUUUAUACCAAAAUUUACUCCUUUUUUUAAAAAAAAAUGUCGAAAUUGCUAAAAUUUACUAUAGUAUUUUAUCUCACCGCUCUAUUUCUAUAUUAUUCAAGUGGAUUAGCGCAUACCUAUAUUACAAGGGGUCGGCCCUUUGAAUGCCGGCCAUAUUGCAUGAUAUAUUGUCCUAAUGGAAAUGUGUUGGAUAGUAAUAGAUGCCCAACAUGCCAGUGCAUCAAAGAUCUUAUUUAACAAAAAUAUAUUCAAAAUUUUUAUUAAUCUUGGGUAAUAUAUAUUAAAAUUAUACAACUUUUAUAUAUUAAUUUAUUGUGUAAUAUAUUAUGUUAUCGUUAUUGAUAUUGCUUUAAUUAAUAAAGUAAUGUUUAAAAAUUUU
Molecule: long non-coding RNA, 590 nt
Organism: Gordionus sp. m RMFG-2023
Lineage: Eukaryota; Metazoa; Nematomorpha; Gordioida; Chordodea; Parachordodidae
Exons: 2
Source: RefSeq, a predicted model, not a curated record